AAGUCGUAACAAGGUUUCCGUAGGUGAACCUGCGGAAGGAUCAUUAACACUGAUCACCUUAUCAAACCAAAAUGUGAACUUGUACUCUGACCUAUUACAUAUAUGUCUAAAAGUGCUUAUCAGUUGAUAGUUGUGUAUAACAGUUUCAAACUUUAUGCAUGAUUGAUAAACAGGAGUUUACCCUCCAAACUUUAUAUAUGUUAGGCUUUAUUAUUAUCAAAACUAUCUUGAUAUACCAUUUUAUUAACCCCAAACCAAACUUAUAAAUCAAAAUUUGUACUAAACAAACAAUGAUUCUAUACAUUAAUACUUUUGAGCUUUAUUGCUUGAGUAUUAUGUGUGGUAAUUAUUAAACACUAACGCAAAACAACUCUUAGCAACGGAUAUCUCGGUUCUC
This 397-nucleotide unclassified non-coding RNA is filed under the name fungal sp. RNAcentral's name for it is "partial internal transcribed spacer region". The stretch from base 1 to 46 matches the Rfam family "Eukaryotic small subunit ribosomal RNA", at positions 1786 to 1831 of the family's 1831-position model. Lineage: Eukaryota; Fungi. The record is from RNAcentral.